AGCUCAGUUGGGAGAGCGCUACAAUCGCACUGUAGAGGCGAAGGGUUCGAAUGUCUUGAGGU
This 62-nucleotide transfer RNA is filed under the name Caldilineaceae bacterium. Its description in RNAcentral is "tRNA-Ala". Lineage: Bacteria; Bacillati; Chloroflexota; Caldilineae; Caldilineales; Caldilineaceae. The record is from RNAcentral.